ACCUUCUGUUUUCAGCUUUCCUCAUGAGAAUUCAGUCGCCUGUGGUACCUUGUUGUAGUAAAUUAGAGCUAACUGGUGGGAAGUGGCUACUGCUCUCACACACACAUCAUCUCUGUGAGCCUCCAGGAGGAUCUGGGAGAUUUGCUGCAAACAAGAAGGAAAUCGGGUGCACACGUCCUCCACAACCUUUCCUCUGCUGAAGACUAAGAUGGCCACUUGCGGGUCAUGUUUCUGGUGCAUCAUAUGGCUCAUUAUUCUGCUGUGCAUUGGGUGGCCCAUCAGCAUCACCUUAGGGGGUCUCUACGGCCUCUUCAGCCCCCUCACCACCUGCCUCGGCCUGGACCGACUGUCCGAUUUACUUCUGGAGGGAGCCAAUGUUGGAAGAACCUGUGCCAAUAACAUGAGGCACAGCAAGCCUUUGUGCUGAAAUCCACCCUUUCUGAUCGAGACCAGACAGAACAGAGGUCGAAGGUAGAAAGAGAACAGGCUUCACCUCAGGAAGAACUGCUAAUGUCUGAUUUAUGCGGAACUAUUCCAACACAACUGGCAAACAAGCCACUGAGAAACUUUCUAGCAACUUAUGUCCACAAGUCCUGGAAAAUGGAUUCCUCUCUUACUGGUAACAUGUAAUUAACUACAGAUUUGAAAUUUCCAUAGGUUUGUCAGGAAGAAAAUAGGCUUGUUGUUCAUGGUCUGUGUUUGCUGUUUAAUUUAUGAUGACACUGCAUGGAGAAGAUAAGAAUGAAAAUGGCAAUUUAAACAAUGGAAAUAUUUAGACUUGGAAAUGUCUUUAUGGAAAUGCGAUUAAAACUGCUUUGAACUUGC
Molecule: long non-coding RNA, 825 nt
Organism: Archocentrus centrarchus (flier cichlid)
Lineage: Eukaryota; Metazoa; Chordata; Actinopteri; Cichliformes; Cichlidae
Exons: 2
Source: RefSeq, a predicted model, not a curated record